This 271-nucleotide unclassified non-coding RNA is filed under the name Hevea brasiliensis (rubber tree). The record is from RNAcentral. Lineage: Eukaryota; Viridiplantae; Streptophyta; Magnoliopsida; Malpighiales; Euphorbiaceae.
GUUUUACUAUUCUCUGUUUGCGUUAUUGUAUGAUUAUUGUUCAAUAGGGUUUUACUCUUUCGUAAUUGCUUUUCCUUCCUUAAUUUUGCAAUUCAAUUGGGAAUGAUUGGAAUUGAAUUAAGAUUCGUCAAUGUUUGCUAUAAUUACCAUGGCCAUACGUUUUGGGUUCUUAUUUUGCUUGUUGAAAGGGUGUUUAAUUAAUUAGUCAGUUGCUUAGUGAAUUCGUCUCUAUUAGGAUAUUUAGGGAAAUCGGGGUUGAAUUAGCGUUGUG